Molecule: small nuclear RNA, 99 nt
Filed under: Rhinolophus ferrumequinum (greater horseshoe bat)
Lineage: Eukaryota; Metazoa; Chordata; Mammalia; Chiroptera; Rhinolophidae
Source: RNAcentral
GUGAGUGUCGGCAGCACAUAUACUAAAAUUAGAAUACAGAGAUUAUCAUGGCCCCUGAGCAAGGAUGAUACGCAAAUUUGUGAAGCGGUCCAUAUUUUU